This is a long non-coding RNA of Hordeum vulgare subsp. vulgare (domesticated barley), 921 nucleotides long. RefSeq lists it as uncharacterized. The transcript has 2 exons. NCBI's taxonomy places the organism in Eukaryota, Viridiplantae, Streptophyta, Magnoliopsida, Poales, Poaceae. The record is from RefSeq and is a predicted model, not a curated record.
GCCAUUCAUCCUCUUCCUCCCUGCCGACCGUCGCGCCUCCACUCCCUUCCGGUCGGCCUGCCCCGCCCCUGCACCACCGCCCUUCCUCACCCCAAAGGCUACCACCGCAACCAUCCCGACGCGGGAUCCGCACUGCCCUGCGUUCAUCUUGGUCGAGGGCCAGCGCCCAUGGUAGUCUCGAGCCCAGAUUCGCAUCAGACAAAGGCAGCGAGGUGGGAGGGGAGCACAGAGAUAAAGGCUCAGGCUUGCUGGGGGCGGAGGCCAUGGCAGGGAUGCAGCACUGUGCUCGGGCGCCGCAUCAAGCGGUGGCAGCGAGGCGGGAGGCCGCACGGGAACGAAGGAGGAGAAAAUGGAGAGGCAAGGGCGGCGGGAAUGGCGGGGAGGCGGUGCUACGCUCGGGGAGGGGGGUGCGCAUCAGGCAACUGAAGCGAGGCAGGAUGUGCGGGUGCCGACCUGCUCCGGCGUCCUCUCAAGGUGCUCCGCUCCCGAGCCCGUCAGCCCCUAUCUCUUCCACGACAGCGACACAUGCCACAUCUUGAGCCUCCAUCUCUUCCACAACAAGCAGCAUACGCAUCAUGUUUUCUACGGUUUUAUUUCCCUGCCUCCAUCUCUUUCAUGGCAAGCAACACAAGUUUCUUUGUUUGUAAAUUAAGCAGUCUGAUUUGGAAAGCAAGGAAUUGCAGAUUUGGAAAGGAGGAACAGAGUACUAGACUUUUAUACAUCUGCAUAAGAUUUGGAAACGAGAAACAGUGGAACAGGGUAGUUUUAACCAUACUACAUGGAGAAAAUGUCCGUGCAGCUCUUGGUGUACUCCUGUGUAGAUUUUCAUAGAGCAAUAUUACUUGCAUUCAGUUUUGUGUCGUCGUGGAAAUUCAGAUGGCCGUCUCUUGACGCCACAACGUCUUCAUUCAGAUCUUAAUU